Molecule: long non-coding RNA, 204 nt
Organism: Lacerta agilis (Sand lizard)
Lineage: Eukaryota; Metazoa; Chordata; Lepidosauria; Squamata; Lacertidae
Exons: 3
Source: RefSeq, a predicted model, not a curated record
ACAGAAUGACAACGUGAUGUGCCUUGAAUUCCAAUGAGGAGCAACGGUGUUUUGUUUUGGGGUCUCCCCCCUGCAACACCAAAUAAAGAAUCCACAGUCCACACAAUUGAUAUCUGCAGGUUUGUUCACAGUGGAAAAGCUGGACAAUCCUUUUCAGUGUGUCAAAAAAAAUCUGAAGCAGCCCCCUUAACCCAGAAAAUUGCA